RNAcentral lists this ribosomal RNA (1194 nucleotides) under metagenome. RNAcentral describes it as "bacterial SSU rRNA". It matches the Rfam family "Bacterial small subunit ribosomal RNA", at positions 298 to 1521 of the family's 1533-position model. The record is from RNAcentral.
GGAUGAUCAGCCACACUGGGACUGAAACACGGCCCAGACUCCUACGGGAGGCAGCAGUAAGGGAUAUUGCACAAUGGGGGAAACCCUGAUGCAGCAACGCCGCGUGAGCGAAGAAGGCCUUCGGGUCGUAAAGCUCUUUUCUGGGGGAAGAGGAAGGACGGUACCUCAGGAAUAAGUCUCGGCUAACUACGUGCCAGCAGCCGCGGUAGAACGUAGGAGGCGAGCGUUAUCCGGAUUCAUUGGGCGUAAAGGGCAAGUAGUCGGUUGUCAAAGUUGGGCGUGACAUCUCUCGGCUUAACUGAGAGGGAGCGCACGAAACUAGGCGACUAGAGGGCAGGAUAGGGUGGCGGAACUCCUAGUGUAGCGGUGGAAUGCUCAGAUACUAGGAAGAACACCAGUGGCGAAGGCGGCCACCUGGUCUGACCCUGACGCUGAGAGGCGAAAGCUAGGGUAGCGAACGGGCUUAGAUACCCCGGUAGUCCUAGCCGUAAACGGUGGAUACUAGGUAUUGGGGGCGAUAAAGCCUCAAGUGCCGAAGCAAACGCGUUAAGUAUCCCGCCUGGGGACUACGGCCGCAAGGUUAAAACUCAAAGGAAUUGACGGGGACCCGCACAAGCAGCGGAGCGUGUGGUUUAAUUCGAUAUAACACGAAGAACCUUACCUGGGCUUGACAUGUAUGUAGUAGGGAACCGAAAGGGGACCGAACCUUCGGGUAGCAUACACAGGUGCUGCAUGGCUGUCGUCAGCUCGUGCCGUGAGGUGUUGGGUUAAGUCCCGCAACGAGCGCAACCCUUGUUGCCAGUUACAAGUGUCUGGCGAGACUGCCGGCAUAUAACCGGAGGAAGGUGGGGAUGACGUCAAGUCAGCAUGGCCUUUAUGUCCAGGGCUACACACACGCUACAAUGGUCGGUACAGAGGGAAGCGAAGCCGCGAGGUGGAGCCAAUCCUGAAAGUCGAUCUCAGUUCAGAUUGCAGGCUGCAACUCGCCUGCAUGAAGUUGGAGUUGCUAGUAACCGCAGGUCAGCAAUACUGCGGUGAAUACGUUCCCGGGUCUUGUACACACCGCCCGUCACGUCAUGGGAGCUGGCAAUACCUAAAGUCAGCGAGCUAACCGCAAGGGAGCAGCUGCCUAGGGUAGGGCUAGUAACUGGGACGAAGUCGUAACAAGGUAGCCGUACCGGAAGGUGCGGCUGG